This 1671-nucleotide ribosomal RNA is filed under the name Chlamydia trachomatis. RNAcentral describes it as "bacterial LSU rRNA". It matches the Rfam family "Bacterial large subunit ribosomal RNA", at positions 1260 to 2925 of the family's 2925-position model. The record is from RNAcentral. Lineage: Bacteria; Pseudomonadati; Chlamydiota; Chlamydiia; Chlamydiales; Chlamydiaceae.
ACCGGAAGGAGGGCUGGAGCGGAUACUAGUGAAGAUCCAUGGCAUAAGUAACGAUAAAGGGAGUGAAAAUCUCCCUCGCCGUAAGCCCAAGGUUUCCAGGGUCAAGCUCGUCUUCCCUGGGUUAGUCGGCCCCUAAGUUGAGGCGUAACUGCGUAGACGAUGGAGCAGCAGGUUAAAUAUUCCUGCACCACCUAAAACUAUAGCGAAGGAAUGACGGAGUAAGUUAAGCACGCGGACGAUUGGAAGAGUCCGUAGAGCGAUGAGAACGGUUAGUAGGCAAAUCCGCUAACAUAAGAUCAGGUCGCGAUCAAGGGGAAUCUUCGGAGGAACCGAUGGUGUGGAGCGAGGCUUUCAAGAAAUAAUUUCUAGCUGUUGAUGGUGACCGUACCAAAACCGACACAGGUGGGCGAGAUGAAUAUUCUAAGGCGCGCGAGAUAACUUUCGUUAAGGAACUCGGCAAAUUAUCCCCGUAACUUCGGAAUAAGGGGAGCCUUUUAGGGUGACUAUGGAACGAUAGGAGCCCCGGGGGGCCGCAGAGAAAUGGCCCAGGCGACUGUUUAGCAAAAACACAGCACUAUGCAAACCUCUAAGGGGAAGUAUAUGGUGUGACGCCUGCCCAAUGCCAAAAGGUUAAAGGGAUAUGUCAGCUGCAAAGCGAAGCAUUGAACCUAAGCCCUGGUGAAUGGCCGCCGUAACUAUAACGGUGCUAAGGUAGCGAAAUUCCUUGUCGGGUAAGUUCCGACCUGCACGAAUGGUGUAACGAUCUGGGCACUGUCUCAACGAAAGACUCGGUGAAAUUGUAGUAGCAGUGAAGAUGCUGUUUACCCGCGAAAGGACGAAAAGACCCCGUGAACCUUUACUGUACUUUGGUAUUGAUUUUUGGUUUGUUAUGUGUAGGAUAGCCAGGAGACUAGGAACACUCUUCUUCAGGAGAGUGGGAGUCAACGUUGAAAUACUGGUCUUAACAAGCUGGGAAUCUAACAUUAUUCCAUGAAUCUGGAAGAUGGACAUUGCCAGACGGGCAGUUUUACUGGGGCGGUAUCCUCCUAAAAAGUAACGGAGGAGCCCAAAGCUUAUUUCAUCGUGGUUGGCAAUCACGAGUAGAGCGUAAAGGUAUAAGAUAGGUUGACUGCAAGACCAACAAGUCGAGCAGAGACGAAAGUCGGGCUUAGUGAUCCGGCGGUGGAAAGUGGAAUCGCCGUCGCUUAACGGAUAAAAGGUACUCCGGGGAUAACAGGCUGAUCGCCACCAAGAGUUCAUAUCGACGUGGCGGUUUGGCACCUCGAUGUCGGCUCAUCGCAUCCUGGGGCUGGAGAAGGUCCCAAGGGUUUGGCUGUUCGCCAAUUAAAGCGGUACGCGAGCUGGGUUCAAAACGUCGUGAGACAGUUUGGUCUCUAUCCUUCGUGGGCGCAGGAUACUUGAGAGGAGCUGUUCCUAGUACGAGAGGACCGGAAUGGACGAACCAAUGGUGUGUCGGUUGUUUUGCCAAGAGCAUAGCCGAGUAGCUACGUUCGGAAAGGAUAAGCAUUGAAAGCAUCUAAAUGCCAAGCCUCCCUCAAGAUAAGGUAUCCCAAUGAGACUCCAUGUAGACUACGUGGUUGAUAGGUUGGAGGUGUAAGCACAGUAAUGUGUUCAGCUAACCAAUACUAAUAAGUCCAAAGACUUGGUCUU